RNAcentral lists this ribosomal RNA (568 nucleotides) under uncultured fungus. Its description in RNAcentral is "eukaryotic LSU rRNA". The stretch from base 187 to 340 matches the Rfam family "5.8S ribosomal RNA". Lineage: Eukaryota; Fungi. The record is from RNAcentral.
UCCGUAGGUGAACCUGCGGAAGGAUCAUUAUUAUUUGGGUCGGGUUUACUACUUAUGCUCAUGUGUCUCAAAUGUAAAGUAGUAAACUUUUACCAAAUAAUCCUAUUUCCAAAUAGGAGCAAGAUUAAUUUAUAUUUAAAACCCACUCUUAAAAUAUUUAUGUAUUUUGAAUGAUAAAAUAAAGAUCACUUUCAACAACGGAUCUCUUGGCUCUCGCAUCGAUGAAGAACGUAGCGAAGUGCGAUAAGUAAUGUGAAUUGCAGAAUUCCGUGAAUCAUCGAAUCUUUGAACGCAAAUUGCACUUUCUGGUAUUCCGGAAAGUAUGCCUGUUUGAGGGUCAGUUAAAUAAAAAUCGGUGUUGUUGCUGCCUUUCGCGGUGACGCGUCGGAAUUGGGUCGUCUUACCUUCGGUUAAGUGACUUAAAAUUUUUUAUGAUUUUUGAACGUAUUAAAUUUUUUGUACGUUUGAGAUAUCGAAUGUUUAUUAGGUUCGGUCAUCCUCAUGAUUCGCGCCUAUAAUUUUUCAUUAAAUUGACCUCAAAUCAGGUAAGAAUACCCGCUGAACUUAA